UACAGAGGUCCCAAGCGUUGUUCGGAUUCACUGGGCGUAAAGGGUGUGUAGGCGGUCGGGUAAGUCUGACGUGAAAUCUUCAAGCUCAACUUGGAAACUGCGUCGGAUACUAUCCGGCUCGAGGAAUGGAGGGGAGACUGGAAUACUUGGUGUAGCAGUGAAAUGCGUAGAUAUCAAGUGGAACACCAGUGGCGAAGGCGAGUCCCUGGACAAUACCUGACACUGAGGCACGAAAGCUAGGGGAGCAAACAGG
Molecule: ribosomal RNA, 253 nt
Filed under: uncultured bacterium
Lineage: Bacteria
Description: partial 16S ribosomal RNA
Rfam family: Bacterial small subunit ribosomal RNA
Source: RNAcentral